Camellia sinensis is the source of this 807-nucleotide non-coding RNA. The record is from RefSeq and is a predicted model, not a curated record. Lineage: Eukaryota; Viridiplantae; Streptophyta; Magnoliopsida; Ericales; Theaceae.
GGUGGCUGAGGAUUGUGAUACAUUGACUGUUCAACUGCCCAAAUAAUUAAGUUUAAAAUGUUACUAUCAUCAACUUCUUAUAAAAAACAAAUAUCUGGCGGCUGAGCAUUAAAAAACAAAUCUUUUGUCAUCUUCAUUGCCAAAAAAAAACAAACCAUACAAUUGAGACAGAGAUAUGGAAGCAAAGCUAACAAGACUGGGAAGCUCACUCCUUGUACCCACUGUUCAAGAACUGGCCAAAGAAUCACUCACCACGGUCCCACCGCGGUAUGUUCACCAUGAUCAUCAGAACCAUCCAAUCUCAUCGUAUGGUGCUCGUUGUCCCGAUGAUGUUCCGAUCAUCGACAUGGACAAGUUGAUUUCUGGAGAUCACAUGGAUUUAGAAUUGAAGAAGCUUAACUAUGCAUCCAAAGAGUGGGGUUUCUUCCAGCAAAUCAAUCAAAGAGGACCCUCUACUAAUUCUUCUUCUUAGCAUUCCCUCUUAGAAUUCCAAUAUGUUGCAAGUAAGAUACAGUUUUCAGUCUUCAUUUCCAAGCUAGCCAUCCCAACAAACUAAACUUUUGCUUUUGAAUCAAGAUUUUGGGUCUUGCAAGCUUGCGUCGAUUUGAAGGCUUGGGAGCUCUCUGCGAGAUUUUCAAUGCCAUUUCAAUGAAGCCCUUGAGAAGAAGAUGCAUUGAGUUGUUCUGCUCUGUAGGUAGAUAUGACGGCAAUUUACAAUAUGUUCAUUGAAUAGUUGAAUGCUACAAACAAUACUUAUAGCACUAGCCUUAUAAAAUAGAAAUGAUACUUUUGAAAUCAGUUAGUUUA